UGACGGAGCACGCCGCGUGAGUGAUGACGGCCUUCGGGUUGUAAAGCUCUGUUAAUCGGGACGAAAGGCCUUCUUGCGAAUAGUGAGAAGGAUUGACGGUACCGGAAUAGAAAGCCACGGCUAACUACGUGCCAGCAGCCGCGGUAAUACGUAGGUGGCAAGCGUUGUCCGGAAUUAUUGGGCGUAAAGCGCGCGCAGGCGGAUAGGUCAGUCUGUCUUAAAAGUUCGGGGCUUAACCCCGUGAUGGGAUGGAAACUGCCAAUCUAGAGUAUCGGAGAGGAAAGUGGAAUUCCUAGUGUAGCGGUGAAAUGCGUAGAUAUUAGGAAGAACACCAGUGGCGAAGGCGACUUUCUGGACGAAAACUGACGCUGAGGCGCGAAAGCCAGGGGAGCGAACGGGAUUAGAUACCCCGGUAGUCCUGGCCGUAAACGAUGGGUACUAGGUGUAGGAGGUAUCGACCCCUUCUGUGCCGGAGUUAACGCAAUAAGUACCCCGCCUGGGGAGUACGACCGCCAAGGUUGAAACUCAAAGGAAUUGACGGGGGCCCGCACAAGCGGUGGAGUAUGUGGUU
This 571-nucleotide ribosomal RNA is filed under the name Veillonella dispar. RNAcentral describes it as "bacterial SSU rRNA". It matches the Rfam family "Bacterial small subunit ribosomal RNA", at positions 384 to 946 of the family's 1533-position model. The record is from RNAcentral. Lineage: Bacteria; Bacillati; Bacillota; Negativicutes; Veillonellales; Veillonellaceae.